UGAUUAUUUAUAGUAAUGAUAGUUGUUAGCAGACUUUUUUUUUUUUUUUCUGAACAAAUUUCGAUUUUAAAUGAGCUGUAAUGAAUGAGAUAGAUAAUGAUUUCCAAGAGCAUACAGAUAAUGUGUCGCAUUGUCGCAGGGUAUCUAAUGUACUUUCCACUAUCCGACUACCACAUAUAAAAGUAUCUGGUAUUGAAUUUCCUCUGACAAAUAUAGCUUUUCCUUCAGUUCUUUCACAACAUGUUUCUUUCUAUCUCGCUAGAAAGACAAUUAAAAUUGUUUCUGAACAUUUAUAUAUAUUUUGAACUGCUAGCAUUCUGAGAUUGCCGACAACAGAAACUAUUUUUAAAGAAUUUUCAGAUUGAGGAAAACAAUGGAG
RNAcentral lists this long non-coding RNA (379 nucleotides) under Androctonus crassicauda. Lineage: Eukaryota; Metazoa; Arthropoda; Arachnida; Scorpiones; Buthidae. The record is from RNAcentral.